CUUGUAGCUCAGAGCUCAUGUCCAACCAUUAAUGUUUUAGAGCGAAACACCUUCAAAUUUGGCAAAAGUUGAAGACGCUUUAGAAAAAUCUGUGAUGGCUCAUCUGUAGUUCAGUAUUUAAUAGUGACAAAUGGUCAUGUCUGGCCUCAUUCCUAGGCAGUUGAAAAUGAAUUCAAGUAUUUCAUCCCAAAUGAAGAUUGGAGAAGCAUCCUUAGGUAUGUCUACUUCUACCCAUUGGAUAUAAAGGGAGCAAAAGGACACAGACCAACCAGGUCCUCCCGCUGUCCAAGAUAGGCCAAGAGUGGGUGCAGGUGAAACUUCCCCUACAAGCUCUUCAGUCCAGGCUACAAAGAGGGCACCGCUUCUCUUCUGGGAGACAUAGACCCAAAAAGGAUGUUGUUCAAUUGAAGAGGAAUUGGAGAAGAUUUCUGAGAGUGAAGGUGAGGUCAGUAGGACCUUACAACAAGGAGUCCUUACAACAACUCAGUGAACAGGAGGACGACAGUUAAAUUGACCAGAGCUCAUGAGUACUAAUCUGUGCAAUGAAAGGUCAAUAAUAGAGAGCUAUUUAGCCUAUCAUGCAAAUGUACAAGAUGAUCUGAAUGCCAGAAAUCAACCCUAGUCAUA
This 627-nucleotide long non-coding RNA is filed under the name Gallus gallus (chicken). RNAcentral describes it as "long non-coding RNA NONGGAT003638". The record is from RNAcentral. Lineage: Eukaryota; Metazoa; Chordata; Aves; Galliformes; Phasianidae.